AGCAGAAAAGGCAGAAAAAAGGCGGCUAGAAGUGGAGAGGAAAAGAAAGGAACGAGAAGAACAGAAGUGGAAAAAGCAAGAGCAGCAGGAACAAAUGGAAAAAAUGAAAGCAGAACUGGAAAAGGAACAACACAGGAGAACAGAGGACAUGCGUUUACAGAAACAGAGACUAGAAAAAGAGUGGAGGCGCCAGGAGGAGGAGGAGGCAGCAAGGAAGUCACAAUUAGAGAAAGCAGCACAGGAACGUAUUUGGCAGCAGCAGGAGGAAUAUCGCAGAAAGCUUCAGCAGUUCCAGAAGAAGAGACAGCUAGAGGAACAAGAACAAGAAGGUCAUGUAUAGAAAGGCUAAUGCUUACUUUAUCUGUAGAUAACUCAUCAAAAGGAUGACUUCUAGUAAACGCAUAGAACUUAAACUUAGUUUGUGGCUCUGCCAUCGAAUUCCUGUGACAGUAAGUCCCAAACUUGCAGCACCUCGGCUCUUCCUCUAUAGAAUAGAGAUGGUAACAAUAGUCCUCUCUCAGUCCCCAUAGCCUGAAGGAAAAUUCCUCAACCUGGCUAUGAUACAAUUGCAUAAGAUGCUAGCAACAAUAGCAUUCAUGCCAUAUUUGUUAAUUUACUGAUGUUUUCAGCAUAUUUGAUAACUUCUCUGGAAGCCCCAGUCCCAGUAGCUAGAGAGUUGAAGAUUCUAUUUCUAACAAGUAUUUGCAGAGAAAAGCUUGAAAACACAAAUCCUAAAUGCCAGAUUAAAAAAAAACAGAAAACCCAUUACAAUUAUUUCUAAAUUGCGUAAUUAAAGCCAAACUCAUGUUUUUGAGACCAGUUUAAAUACUUGGAAUGUCAGUAUUCCAACUGUAAAUUCUCUUAAUUUGUAAUUGAUUAAAAACAUUUCCUAAAUAGGAGUUAUACGAGCAACUAACAGUUGUUUGGUGGUCUGUUCCUAAGAGGCAGAAAAACAGAGACAAAGAGAAAUGUGGUUAGAGGAGCAACACCAGCAACUAGUGGAGAUGGUAGAAGAACAAGGCCUGGAGUAUGACAGAAGAAAUCAAGAGGAAGAGAAGGCAAGACAUGAGGCUGAAGAGCAGAGAAAGAAAGCAGAGGAAGAGGCUAGACUAGCUUUGGAAGAAGACAAAAGACAAGCACAGCUUUUAAUCAGGCAAAAAGCAGCUCUGGAGCAACAUCUGCAGUUCCAGCGUGCACUACUAAUAGAAACUACUGGACUAGAACACACUCAAGAUAUUUCCCGUCCAUGGGUGUUUUCUUAUUUUCAACUGCUUGAAAAGCUAGGCCCUGAAAAGAGUACAAAAGAAUAAAUAAAUGCUUAGCGCCAGAGAUAGAUCACUGCAGUGAGCUCUUUCAGAUCAAAUAUAAUUCAAGGUUCCAACCUGAUUAAAACUGGAAGAAUGCUCCUUUACUGGAUAGGUGCUGCUCUCGAUCCCAAAUUUGUUUUCCCAGACUACAAGUCUAGUCUGUGUAUACAUCCUAUAGAUAGAAAGUAAAAGCUUUUUUUUUUUUUUUUUUAAAAAAAUCAGCCAGUAGAAAUUAACCUAGACAGACCACGAUGACCUUUACAACCUCUCAAAGUGCCAGAGUACAUUUUGUUUAUCCUUUGCUGCUUCAUCCCAGAUUCUUUAGGCCAUUUUGUGGUAAGACAGAAAACAAUGAAACUGUCAGUUUACAAGAGAUACGAAAGAUCUCAGUUCUGACUUUCAGAGGGAUCCCCCAAAGCAACUGAUUUAUGUGCCGUUGCAAAAAAGGCUAGAUGUCUUCAGUAUCAGCCCUAUGCACUACAGAAAUAAACAAGAUAAACUUGCCAGGUUCCUCUUGUUUUCCACUUUGCUAGUAUUUUAUCUAUCAAAAAGAAAGCGAGACAUUUUGUAGAUUCAAAUUACAUUAAAGUUCCUGUAGAUCGGGAGAGAAAAGUAAUCAAUUUUUGUGGUCUUCCUAAAUUGAACCUGAACUUCAUUUAAAUUAAAUAUGCAUCAAGCACUGGUUCUAAAAGCAAAAAAAAAAAAAAAAAAUAAAAUAAAAUAAAAAAAAUUUUA
This is a long non-coding RNA of Dromaius novaehollandiae (emu), 2042 nucleotides long. RefSeq lists it as uncharacterized. The transcript has 3 exons. NCBI's taxonomy places the organism in Eukaryota, Metazoa, Chordata, Aves, Casuariiformes, Dromaiidae. The record is from RefSeq and is a predicted model, not a curated record.